RNAcentral lists this ribosomal RNA (465 nucleotides) under uncultured bacterium. RNAcentral describes it as "partial 16S ribosomal RNA". It matches the Rfam family "Bacterial small subunit ribosomal RNA", at positions 28 to 507 of the family's 1533-position model. The record is from RNAcentral.
GACGAACGCUGGCGGCGUGCUUAACACAUGCAAGUCGAACGGAAAGGCCCUGCUUUUGUGGGGUGCUCGAGUGGCGAACGGGUGAGUAACACGUGAGUAACCUGCCCUUGACUUUGGGAUAACUUCAGGAAACUGGGGCUAAUACCGGAUAGGAGCUCCUGCUGCAUGGUGGGGGUUGGAAAGUUUCGGCGGUUGAUGGACUCGCGGCUUAUCAGCUUGUUGGUGGGGUAGUGGCUUACCAAGGCUUUGACGGGUAGCCGGCCUGAGAGGGUGACCGGCCACAUUGGGACUGAGAUACGGCCCAGACUCCUACGGGAGGCAGCAGUGGGGAAUAUUGCACAAUGGGCAGAAGCCUGAUGCAGCAACGCCGCGUGCGGGAUGACGGCCUUCGGGUUGUAAACCGCUUUCGCCUGUGACGAAGCGUGAGUGACGGUAAUGGGUAAAGAAGCACCGGCUAACUACGUG